This 758-nucleotide unclassified non-coding RNA is filed under the name Monascus pilosus. RNAcentral's name for it is "sequence contains 28S rRNA gene". It matches the Rfam family "Eukaryotic large subunit ribosomal RNA", at positions 169 to 945 of the family's 3401-position model. Lineage: Eukaryota; Fungi; Ascomycota; Eurotiomycetes; Eurotiales; Aspergillaceae. The record is from RNAcentral.
GUCAGCCCCCGUCUAAGUGCCCUGGAACGGGCCGUCGGAGAGGGUGAGAAUCCCGUCUGGGACGGGGUGCCUGGGUCCAUGUGAAGCUCCUUCGACGAGUCGAGUUGUUUGGGAAUGCAGCUCUAAAUGGGUGGUAAAUUUCAUCUAAAGCUAAAUACUGGCCGGAGACCGAUAGCGCACAAGUAGAGUGAUCGAAAGAUGAAAAGCACUUUGAAAAGAGAGUUAAACAGCACGUGAAAUUGUUGAAAGGGAAGCGCUUGCGAUCAGACUCGCCUGCGGGGUUCAGCCGGCAUUCGUGCCGGUGUACUUCCCCGUGGGCGGGCCAGCGUCGGUUCGGGUGGCCGGUCAAAGGCCCCGGGAAUGUGUCGCCCUCCGGGGCGUCUUAUAGCCCGGGGUGCCAUGCGGCCUACCUGGACCGAGGAACGCGCUUCGGCUCGGACGCUGGCGUAAUGGUCGUAAGCGACCCGUCUUGAAACACGGACCAAGGAGUCUAACAUCUACGCGAGUGUUUGGGUGGCAAACCCAUACGCGCAGUGAAAGCGAACGGAGGUGGGAACCCUUCGGGGCGCACCAUCGACCGAUCCUGAUGUCUUCGGAUGGAUUUGAGUAAGAGCGUAGCUGUGGGGACCCGAAAGAUGGUGAACUAUGCCUGAAUAGGGCGAAGCCAGAGGAAACUCUGGUGGAGGCUCGCAGCGGUUCUGACGUGCAAAUCGAUCGUCAAAUUUGGGUAUAGGGGCGAAAGACUAAUCGAACCAUCC